UCCUGCCGGAGGCCAUUGCUAUCGGAGUUCGAUUUAGCCAUGCUAGUCGCACGGGUUUAGACCCGUGGCAGAUAGCUCAGUGACACGUGGCCAAACUACCCUAUGGACAGGAAUAACCUCGGGAAACUGAGGCCAAUUCCUGAUACCGCUUCCCUCCUGGAAUGGGAGAAGCACCAAACGUUACGGCGCCAUAGGAUGUGGCUGCGGCCGAUUAGGUAGACGGUGAGGUAACGGCUCACCGUGCCCAUAAUCGGUACGGGUUGUGAGAGCAAGAGCCCGGAGACGGUAUCUGAGACAAGAUACCGGGCCCUACGGGGCGCAGCAGGCGCGAAAACUUUACACUGCACGACAGUGCGAUAAGGGAACUCCGAGUGCGAGGGCAUAUCGUCCUCGCUUUUCUGUACCGUAGGGAGGUACAAGAAUAAGGGCUGGGCAAGACCGGUGCCAGCCGCCGCGGUAACACCGGCAGCCCAAGUGAUGGCCGAUAUUAUUGGGCCUAAAGCGUCCGUAGCCAGCUGAACAGGUCCGUUGGGAAAUCUGCUCGCUCAACGAGCAGGCGUCCGGCGGAAACCAGUCAGCUUGGGACCGAGAGGACCGAAGGGUACGUCUGGGGUAGGAGUGAAAUCCCGUAAUCCUGGACGGACCACCGAUGGCGAAAGCACUUCGGUAGAUCGGAUCCGAUGGUGAGGGACGAAAGCUAGGGUCACGAACCGGAUUAGAUACCCGGGUAGUCCUAGCCGUAAACGAUGCUCGUUAGGUGUGGCGCAAACUACGAGUUUGUGCCGUGCCGCAGCGAAGGCGAUAAACGAGCCGCCUGGGAAGUACGUCCGCAAGGAUGAAACUUAAAGGAAUUGGCGGGGGAGCACUACAACCGGAGGAGCCUGCGGUUUAAUUGGACUCAACGCCGGACAUCUCACCAGCUCCGACAGUGUGCAGUGACGGUCAGUGUGAUGAGCUUACCUGAGCCACUGAGAGGAGGUGCAUGGCCGCCGUCAGCUCGUACCGUGAGGCGUCCUGUUAAGUCAGGCAACGAGCGAGACCCGCACUCCUAAUUGCCAGCACCGGCUUCGGCCGGGUGGGUACAUUAGGAGGACUGCCGUGGCCAACACGGAGGAAGGAACGGGCAACGGUAGGUCAGUAUGCCCCGAAUGUGCUGGGCUACACGCGGGCUACAAUGGCCAAGACAAUGGGUUCCAACCUCGAAAGAGGACGGUAAUCUCCUAAACUUGGUCGUAGUUCGGAUUGAGGGCUGAAACCCGCCCUCAUGAAGCUGGAUUCGGUAGUAAUCGCGUGUCAGCAGCGCGCGGUGAAUACGUCCCUGCUCCUUGUACACACCGCCCGUCA
This 1344-nucleotide ribosomal RNA is filed under the name uncultured Halobacterium sp. Its description in RNAcentral is "bacterial SSU rRNA". It matches the Rfam family "Archaeal small subunit ribosomal RNA". Lineage: Archaea; Methanobacteriati; Methanobacteriota; Halobacteria; Halobacteriales; Halobacteriaceae. The record is from RNAcentral.